RNAcentral lists this long non-coding RNA (726 nucleotides) under Anas platyrhynchos platyrhynchos (common mallard). Its description in RNAcentral is "lncRNA (ENSAPLG00000016779.1)". Lineage: Eukaryota; Metazoa; Chordata; Aves; Anseriformes; Anatidae. The record is from RNAcentral.
GGAUCUUCAGGAGCCUUGCGACUUUUUCCAUUGCUGAGUAAAGCAAGGAGGCCUCCCUUGUCAGGAAUGAGGGCUUGUGGGACUUUUUUAGCAGAUGGAAGAGUGCCAGAAGAGAGAUAAGGCCCUCACCCGUGAUCUGUAUUCUCUGGCUGUAUGAGGGAGUACUAGGCUGUAGCUGCCAAAAUACCCUCUUCCUUUAGGCCUGGAGGCUGUGCUGAUUAGUGGUUGGAAUAAGAGUGGGGUAAAGAAGGUUCUCUUCACAGAGGAAAAGGAGAAGUGAUUGAGAUGAUGGUGCUUCACAUCCCAGAGGGAGUUUCGCUUGACAGAUAAGCACCCUGAGUCAUGAGCUGAAUACGUGCCUAAACGGUUUAGAGGUUGAAGGAAAUCCUAUCAAAGUUUGCUGUUGUGGUUGAACGUGCUGACUCAAAGCACUUACUACGUGAGCUACUGGGGAGAAAAUGUGGCUGGUAGUAAGUUGUGCAGUGGGCCAGGUGGAAAUCAGGAGGCAGAAAUCAUCCUUGACACAAAGGGGAAGCAAUCUGGGAACCACUGGAUUCAGCACUUCAACCUGGAGAAAGUGAUUCUAGAUGACCUGGUGAAUCUAUUUAAGCCAAAAGCAAAAUGUCUGUCAACCUAAGUCAACAACCACUUUUCAUCCAGUGGGUCAAACUUUUCAUCUAAAGCUGAGGCUGUUUUACAUCACCUGCACAGCAUCAAACACACAGC